This 605-nucleotide long non-coding RNA is filed under the name Olea europaea (common olive). Its description in RNAcentral is "long non-coding RNA (OEUR_LNC011542)". The record is from RNAcentral. Lineage: Eukaryota; Viridiplantae; Streptophyta; Magnoliopsida; Lamiales; Oleaceae.
AGACUAUCCAAACCGCAUACUCGAGAACAUAAAUAAGAAAACCCAAAUGAAAUAUGCGACAAAAAUGAAAUCUUGCUGUGACAAUAAACCACUUUAUUAUACACAAACCUAACUUGGUCAAAUGAAAAUCUACAGAAGGAUCCUAGAAUUAACACACACGCAUUCAAGAAUAUAAAUAAUUUUUACCACCUGCAUUUUGUUAAAAAAUUAAAAUAAAAUAAAAACUCUACAGAAGGAACAUUAAAUCAACACAAGGUUGAAACUUUACUACACCCAAAAUCAAAUAUUUUAGAAAAUGCAUACCAAAAACAUCAUAGACCAGAAUAGCACCAAGCUUGGAAUCCACAGUGCCAGAAAUAUAGCAUUUGAGGCCUCUAAGCUCUUCAACAUGCCAUGUUCCAUUGCUUGAGCCUAGAACUGCUGGGUCUUCACAGCUCUGAGAGUGAGGGCUUGACAUGUUACCUCAAUUUUUGGAAAAUGAGUCAAAUGUUUGGUUCUGCAAUAGUACACAGCAAAAGGGUUGUUAAUUUGUUGAAGAUUUAUAAAGGGAAAAUUUGCUAAUCUAUUGCCCAAUCAUUUUUCUUGGCAAUUGUAUCUUAAAUUAA